UUUUACGUAUAUUGUCACAGUAUUAUAUAUCAUAGUGAUAAACAGGAAACAACGUGAAUGUCCCGAAACAGGAGAAAGUGAUAAAUUGUGGUAUAUUUAGAAGAUAGAGUGUUAGUUAUGCAGACAUCAGAAAUAAUUUUUUAAAAGAUUAGAAACAUAGAGGCGUGGUAAAGCAUUAAGUAAAAAGUAGGAUAGAGGAACAUAUCAUUGUAAAAACAAUAUUUUCAAAGAAGAUUUGAUGACAGGGUCCUGAUAAAAUGUGAAGUUCAAAGACAAGAUGGGGAACUGUAUAAUUCAGAGCCGCGUCAUUCUUUCUCCACAUCUGGAUGAUGGAAACACCGCAUGACUAUCACCUCACCUGAGCCCACGGCAACCUUAUGAGGCUGAUACUGUGAUUCUCAUUUUACAGGUUGGCAGACUUCGAGAAACUUGACAAAUCCAGUUGAUGGGGAUAUGGAGCACCAGCACUUUCAUCUGUCAUGGAUGAGAAUGGGUGCACCUGCUAUGGAGAAUGACUUGUCAGUUUCCUGGUGACAUUAAAGAGACUCAUUCCCUCCCGCACAGAGUUUCCUUCCUAGAGAUGUGUGUACAAGGAUAUAUACAAGACUAUUUGAUCCAAUAUUGUUCCUGAUACUGAAACAUUUUAAAUGACUCAGAUGCUCAUCUGAAGGGCUGUGGAUAAAUAAACAUGGUAUAUUUAGAUACCGCAA
Lontra canadensis (Northern American river otter) is the source of this 710-nucleotide long non-coding RNA. RefSeq lists it as uncharacterized. The transcript has 2 exons. The record is from RefSeq and is a predicted model, not a curated record. NCBI's taxonomy places the organism in Eukaryota, Metazoa, Chordata, Mammalia, Carnivora, Mustelidae.